Molecule: ribosomal RNA, 159 nt
Filed under: Huernia keniensis
Lineage: Eukaryota; Viridiplantae; Streptophyta; Magnoliopsida; Gentianales; Apocynaceae
Also listed under: 47 other names
Description: 5.8S ribosomal RNA
Rfam family: 5.8S ribosomal RNA
About the family: 5.8S ribosomal RNA (5.8S rRNA) is a component of the large subunit of the eukaryotic ribosome. It is transcribed by RNA polymerase I as part of the 45S precursor that also contains 18S and 28S rRNA. Functionally, it is thought that 5.8S rRNA may be involved in ribosome translocation.
Source: RNAcentral
CGACUCUCGACAACGGAUAUCUAGGCUCUCGCAUCGAUGAAGAACGUAGCAAAAUGCGAUACUUGGUGUGAAUUGCAGAAUCCCGUGAAUCAUCGAGUUUUUGAACGCAAGUUGCGCCCAAAGUCAUUAGGCCGAGGGCACGUCUGCCUGGGUGUCACG